Molecule: non-coding RNA, 398 nt
Organism: Phasianus colchicus (ring-necked pheasant)
Lineage: Eukaryota; Metazoa; Chordata; Aves; Galliformes; Phasianidae
Source: RefSeq, a predicted model, not a curated record
AAAAAAAAAAAAAAAAUCUGAAAGAAAGGAAAAAGGGGAAAAAGCCGAGCGAGAGCCGGGGGGGCAGAGCGGAGCGAGAGCGAGCGGGCGCGUUCCCACCGUGAUGCCGUUCUCAUUUUGACCGUUCUCGCCGAUUUUUUUUUUUUAUUUUGGGGGAGGGUUUUGCUGCCGGCUGCACCGUGUGUUCGCACAGGAGGAGAAGAAGAAGGAAGGGGCAAGGAAGAGGAAAAGAAGAGGAUUUAUUUACCCGACCUACUUUGGAUCUCUCUUUUUCCUGCGUGUGCCAUUAUUAUUCCCGUCCUCUAUUUUUACACUUCGCCGUGAAUUCGUCUCCUCUGCGAAUUUAGUCACAUCCGAUUUUUUUUUUUUUGUAAUUUUUCUUUUUUUUUUUUUUUUUU